UACGGAAGGCAGCAGUGGGGAAUAUUGCACAAUGGGCGCAAGCCUGAUGCAGCCAUGCCGCGUGUAUGAAAAAGGCCUUCGGGUUGUAAAGUACUUUCAGUCGUGAGGAAGGUGUUAAGGUUAAUAACCUUAGCAAUUGACGUUAGCGACAGAAGAAGCACCGGCUAACUCCGUGCCAGCAGCCGCGGUAAUACGGAGGGUGCGAGCGUUAAUCGGAAUUACUGGGCGUAAAGGGCACGCAGGCGGUUAAUUAAGUUGGAUGUGAAUCCCCGGGCUUAACCUGGGAAUGGCAUUCAAGACUGGUUAGCUAGAGUCUUGUAGAGGGGGUAGAAUUCCAUGUGUAGCGGUGAAAUGCGUAGAGAUGUGGAGGAAUACCGGUGGCGAAGGCGGCCCCUGGACAAAGACUGACGCUCAUGUGCGAAAGCGUGGGGAGCAAACAGGGAUUACAUACC
Molecule: ribosomal RNA, 452 nt
Filed under: uncultured bacterium
Lineage: Bacteria
Description: bacterial SSU rRNA
Rfam family: Bacterial small subunit ribosomal RNA
Source: RNAcentral